UAUGAAGAUGAGCAUGAAUGCAUAGGAUAUGCAGUUCUUCCAAAUAUGGAUAUUAAAGAUGCAUAAUGAUUUUUUUCAUUAUUCUGCCAAGUAUCAUAUGCAGUGAAGUUAAGACACAUCAUUCCCUGGAAGUGACUACCAUAGUAUCUGCUGUUGUGUUUAUUUAUUUUUUAACCAAUUCACAUCCUGGUGGUAUUUGUUAGGUAUACAAAGACUGAAAAACUACUGCGAUGGCCUCAUGCCUUGUUUUUCUCCUUUAGAAGAUGUUUUUUCUCCUUUAGAUGAUUUUUUUCUCCUUUAGAAGAGUGUACUUCCUUUCUCAUUGGUGAAACAUCUAUUAAUAGUAAUUCUCAUCUUCCCUGAGAACCCUCAUCUGUAUAAUGUGCUAGUUUUUACCCAGGAACACUGCAUUAUAAAGCAUUUAAAGGUCAGGCAAGUCAGCAUUUGUUCCCUGGGCUGCUCAGAGACUGAGUGCAUGAACAGCAAAUAGUGUCGUGUUCCAUAUUUUGAGAGCUUGACCUGUUGCUGGGACCCAAGGGCACAGAAAAAGAGUAUGUGAGUGAAGAAAAACAGGAACACCACUCUGUAGCCAGUCUAGCUGGAAAAUCCUUUGAGGUAGCAGGAGACUGGGUUUUAUCCUACAGAACUCUGCUAAGCAGAUCCCUGAAGAGGCCAGACAGCUCUCCUGAAAUCCAUGGUUGUGAGCAAGCAUCCUCCUUUUGCCCUAAGUAUGUUGAACUCCACAAUUUCAUGGUCACUGCACCAAGACUGCCUUUGACCUUUACAUUCCCACCAGCAUCACCUUGUUGAUAAGAAAGAGGUCCAGCACAGCCUCUUUCCUCAGCUUCUCUAUCACCUGGAGAAGGAAGUUAUCAUCGUAUUGUAUGGUACCUGCUUACCAGCAGGUUGGACUUGAUGAUCUCUUGAGGUUCCUUUCGAUCUCUGUGAUUCUGUGGUUCUGUGAUUCUGCAACACACUCUAGGAACCUCCUGGAUUGCUCAUGCCUUGC
This 1009-nucleotide long non-coding RNA is filed under the name Gallus gallus (chicken). Its description in RNAcentral is "lncRNA (ENSGALG00010005079.1)". The record is from RNAcentral. Lineage: Eukaryota; Metazoa; Chordata; Aves; Galliformes; Phasianidae.